Molecule: long non-coding RNA, 408 nt
Organism: Mytilus trossulus (common blue mussel)
Lineage: Eukaryota; Metazoa; Mollusca; Bivalvia; Mytilida; Mytilidae
Exons: 6
Source: RefSeq, a predicted model, not a curated record
AGAUACCCGUAUGUAAAAAUUACUUAGCGACAGUCGUUAUGUAUGUGUGUUUACAUAUGAAACGAAAGUGGAAAUUCAUUUUAACCAAGUGGACAAUUGUUUUUUAAAGUUUAAAGAUCUACGGUUCGUUUUUAUUUGAUUCAAGUCCAGUCGAUUUAAUACACGUUUAGUAAAGAUCCUUGUCCAGUCAAUGUGAUCCUUGUCCAGUCAAGUUAUUAUAGAUACUUGAGAUGACGACACAACCUUACUUAUAAAAUAGGCUGACCUCAGAGGUACAUUCAUCAGUAUUUAUCUAAUUAGCUAUAAUGGAAAGUUGGAAUAAGAAACUUACUACAGCUGCUUGGGAGGGAGAUACAGAAGCCUUAAAAUUAAGCCUACAGAAUGGUGCAGAAAUUGAUUAUCAAGAUG